GUGGGGAAUCUUGCGCAAUGGGCGAAAGCCUGACGCAGCCAUGCCGCGUGAAUGAUGAAGGUCUUAGGAUUGUAAAAUUCUUUCACCGGGGACGAUAAUGACGGUACCCGGAGAAGAAGCCCCGGCUAACUUCGUGCCAGCAGCCGCGGUAAUACGAAGGGGGCUAGCGUUGCUCGGAAUUACUGGGCGUAAAGGGAGCGUAGGCGGAUAGUUCAGUCAGAGGUGAAAGCCCAGGGCUCAACCUUGGAAUUGCCUUUGAUACUGGCUGUCUUGAGUAUGGGAGAGGUUAGCGGAACUCCGAGUGUAGAGGUGAAAUUCGUAGAUAUUCGGAAGAACACCAGUGGCGAAGACGGCUAACUGGCCCAUUACUGACGCUGAGGCUCGAAAGCGUGGGGAGCAAACAGGAUUAGAAACCCCUGUAGUCC
This 425-nucleotide ribosomal RNA is filed under the name uncultured bacterium. RNAcentral's name for it is "partial 16S ribosomal RNA". It matches the Rfam family "Bacterial small subunit ribosomal RNA", at positions 354 to 796 of the family's 1533-position model. The record is from RNAcentral.